This 73-nucleotide transfer RNA is filed under the name Canis lupus familiaris (dog). It matches the Rfam family "tRNA". Rfam says of the family: Transfer RNA (tRNA) molecules are approximately 80 nucleotides in length. The record is from Rfam by way of RNAcentral. RNAcentral also lists the same sequence under 1 other name. Lineage: Eukaryota; Metazoa; Chordata; Mammalia; Carnivora; Canidae.
GCCUGGCUGGCUCAGCUGGUAGAGCAUGCAACUCUUGAUCUCGGGGUCGUGAGUUUGAGCCCCAUGUUGGGCA